GGGUGUCAUCAUACCAGGACUAAUGCACCGGAUCCCAUCAGAACUCCGUAGUUAAGCGUGCUUGGGCGAGAGUAGUACUAGGAUAGGUGACCUCCUGGGAAGUCCUCGUGUUGCACCCC
This 119-nucleotide ribosomal RNA is filed under the name Gossypium arboreum. Lineage: Eukaryota; Viridiplantae; Streptophyta; Magnoliopsida; Malvales; Malvaceae. The record is from RNAcentral.